AUUGAACGCUGGCGGCAUGCCUUACACAUGCAAGUCGAACGGCAGCACGGAGCUUGCUCUGGUGGCGAGUGGCGAACGGGUGAGUAAUAUAUCGGAACGUACCCUGGAGUGGGGGAUAACGUAGCGAAAGUUACGCUAAUACCGCAUACGAUCUAAGGAUGAAAGUGGGGGAUCGCAAGACCUCAUGCUCGUGGAGCGGCCGAUAUCUGAUUAGCUAGUUGGUAGGGUAAAAGCCUACCAAGGCAUCGAUCAGUAGCUGGUCUGAGAGGACGACCAGCCACACUGGAACUGAGACACGGUCCAGACUCCUACGGGAGGCAGCAGUGGGGAAUUUUGGACAAUGGGCGAAAGCCUGAUCCAGCAACGCCGCGUGAGUGAAGAAGGCCUUCGGGUUGUAAAGCUCUUUUGUCAGGGAAGAAACGGUGAGAGCUAAUAUCUCUUGCUAAUGACGGUACCUGAAGAAUAAGCACCGGCUAACUACGUGCCAGCAGCCGCGGUAAUACGUAGGGUGCAAGCGUUAAUCGGAAUUACUGGGCGUAAAGCGUGCGCAGGCGGUUUUGUAAGUCUGAUGUGAAAUCCCCGGGCUCAACCUGGGAAUUGCAUUGGAGACUGCAAGGCUAGAAUCUGGCAGAGGGGGGUAGAAUUCCACGUGUAGCAGUGAAAUGCGUAGAUAUGUGGAGGAACACCGAUGGCGAAGGCAGCCCCCUGGGUCAAGAUUGACGCUCAUGCACGAAAGCGUGGGGAGCAAACAGGAUUAGAUACCCUGGUAGUCCACGCCCUAAACGAUGUCUACUAGUUGUCGGGUCUUAAUUGACUUGGUAACGCAGCUAACGCGUGAAGUAGACCGCCUGGGGAGUACGGUCGCAAGAUUAAAACUCAAAGGAAUUGACGGGGACCCGCACAAGCGGUGGAUGAUGUGGAUUAAUUCGAUGCAACGCGAAAAACCUUACCUACCCUUGACAUGGCUGGAAUCCCGAAGAGAUUUGGGAGUGCUCGAAAGAGAACCAGUACACAGGUGCUGCAUGGCUGUCGUCAGCUCGUGUCGUGAGAUGUUGGGUUAAGUCCCGCAACGAGCGCAACCCUUGUCAUUAGUUGCUACGAAAGGGCACUCUAAUGAGACUGCCGGUGACAAACCGGAGGAAGGUGGGGAUGACGUCAAGUCCUCAUGGCCCUUAUGGGUAGGGCUUCACACGUCAUACAAUGGUACAUACAGAGCGCCACCAACCCGCGAGGGGGAGCUAAUCGCAGAAAGUGUAUCGUAGUCCGGAUUGUAGUCUGCAACUCGACUGCAUGAAGUUGGAAUCGCUAGUAAUCGCGGAUCAGCAUGUCGCGGUGAAUACGUUCCCGGGUCU
This 1352-nucleotide ribosomal RNA is filed under the name uncultured bacterium. Its description in RNAcentral is "bacterial SSU rRNA". It matches the Rfam family "Bacterial small subunit ribosomal RNA", at positions 28 to 1381 of the family's 1533-position model. The record is from RNAcentral.